GGCAACAGUACACUCAAAUCAGGAUCAUUUGAAGAGAGUUUCAUAGAGACCACUCCCCAUGUUGUGGUAAGGUCGGGAACAGCUGGGUGCCAUUAUCACCGGGGUCUGACAUGGCCAGUGGAGGAGGACGAUACUGGAACCUGCAGGCAGAGAAGGCUGGACGGACACAGAGACGCCCCACAGCAGCAGAUAAGGACACCUGACAUGGACCGGGAAGAGACCUGCUGGGAGCAGAGAGGACACAGAGAGACACACAAGGGAAGAAGACCAUGAGAAGACACAGGCAGAGACUGGAAUGAUGCAGCCAGAAACCACUGGAAUUGGGCAGAAGCAAGAAAGGAUUCUUCCCUCGAGCCUUUAGAGGGAGCCUGGCCCUGCCCACACUUUGACUUUGGAUUUCUAGUCUCCAGAA
Molecule: long non-coding RNA, 412 nt
Organism: Rhinolophus ferrumequinum (greater horseshoe bat)
Lineage: Eukaryota; Metazoa; Chordata; Mammalia; Chiroptera; Rhinolophidae
Exons: 3
Source: RefSeq, a predicted model, not a curated record